RNAcentral lists this non-coding RNA (83 nucleotides) under Clostridium magnum. RNAcentral's name for it is "c-di-GMP-II sequence". It matches the Rfam family "Cyclic di-GMP-II riboswitch aptamer". RNAcentral also lists the same sequence under 1 other name. The record is from RNAcentral. Lineage: Bacteria; Bacillati; Bacillota; Clostridia; Eubacteriales; Clostridiaceae.
UAGGUAUUUGGAAACUAUGAUAAAUUCUUUGUAUUUGGGCACUUUAGGAAUUUGGAGUUAGCAGUGCAACCGACCAAUAUAAA